This is a non-coding RNA of Phascolarctos cinereus (koala), 345 nucleotides long. Lineage: Eukaryota; Metazoa; Chordata; Mammalia; Diprotodontia; Phascolarctidae. The record is from RefSeq and is a predicted model, not a curated record.
GGUAUGGCAGUGCUGGGAGUAGAAGAUGGCGUUAAUGGUACAUUAUGCAAUGCAUGGGGAAUUCCCCUGGGAACAAAUAAGGGAUUCCACUCAAGAACAAGUGAUCAAAAAACAGGAAGCAGAAAGUAAUUGUUCUGGAUAAUCCAUAAACUGGGCAAUAUACCUUUGAUUAAAGGAGAAUUGACUAUGAAUCUGAGAUUACUGGCAAAACGUCAUCUACUAAUCUGUUUUCAAAGGGAGCAAAAAUACUUUGUACUAUAUGUUAGAAGUAGUUUUUUCUUUGUUUUUCAGUUUUCCUAUUCAAAUCAUCAUGUCAGUGUUUAUUUUUCUAUGACGGUGAAAUUU